RNAcentral lists this ribosomal RNA (254 nucleotides) under uncultured bacterium. RNAcentral's name for it is "partial 16S ribosomal RNA". It matches the Rfam family "Bacterial small subunit ribosomal RNA", at positions 524 to 776 of the family's 1533-position model. The record is from RNAcentral.
UACGUAGGGUGCGAGCGUUAAUCGGAAUUACUGGGCGUAAAGCGUGCGCAGGCGGUCUGUUAAGACCGAUGUGAAAUCCCCGGGCUUAACCUGGGAACUGCAUUGGUGACUGGCAGGCUUUGAGUGUGGCAGAGGGAGGUAGAAUUCCACGUGUAGCAGUGAAAUGCGUAGAGAUGUAGAGGAAUACCGAUGGCGAAGGCAGCCUCCUGGGCCAACACUGACGCUCAUGCACGAAAGCGUGGGGAGCAAACAGG